This is a long non-coding RNA of Salvelinus sp. IW2-2015, 249 nucleotides long. RefSeq lists it as uncharacterized. Lineage: Eukaryota; Metazoa; Chordata; Actinopteri; Salmoniformes; Salmonidae. The record is from RefSeq and is a predicted model, not a curated record.
UGUUUUCUCCCUGUGUGUUUCAGGRUUUCAGAGCUGUUGGUGAGUGGACCUUCCAAUAUCACAGAGAACACCACUGUCCCAGGAGAGUACCUUCUAAGAUGGACGCCCACUGAGGAUGAGGAGGGAGGGUACUAUCCUGUGUGCUUCAUCGCUCAGGGAGUGAACAACAGUUCCAAGUAUCACUCUGAGCUGCGCUGUGUGAUCGUCAGGGUUGGAAACACAAGCGCCAUCAUAACCAAGCGGAACCAA